This 253-nucleotide ribosomal RNA is filed under the name uncultured bacterium. RNAcentral's name for it is "partial 16S ribosomal RNA". It matches the Rfam family "Bacterial small subunit ribosomal RNA", at positions 524 to 776 of the family's 1533-position model. The record is from RNAcentral.
UACGUAGGGGGCAAGCGUUGUCCGGAAUCAUUGGGCGUAAAGCGCGUGUAGGCGGCCCGGUAAGUCCGCUGUGAAAGUCAGGGGCUCAACCCUCGAAUGCCGGUGGAUACUGUCGGGCUAGAGUGCGGAAGAGGCGAGUGGAAUUCCUGGUGUAGCGGUGAAAUGCGUAGAUAUCUGGAGGAACACCGGUGGCGAAGGCGGCAUCCUGGACCGAUACUGACGCUGAGGAGCGAAAGCCAGGGGAGCAAACGGG